This 254-nucleotide ribosomal RNA is filed under the name uncultured bacterium. RNAcentral's name for it is "partial 16S ribosomal RNA". It matches the Rfam family "Bacterial small subunit ribosomal RNA", at positions 524 to 776 of the family's 1533-position model. The record is from RNAcentral.
UACGUAGGGGGCAAGCGUUGUCCGGAAUCAUUGGGCGUAAAGAGCGUGUAGGCGGCCCGGUAAGUCCGCUGUGAAAGUCCAGGGCUCAACCCUGGGAUGCCGGUGGAUACUGUCGGGCUCGAGUCCGGAAGAGGAGUGUGGAAUUCCUGGUGUAGCGGUGAAAUGCGCAGAUAUCAGGAGGAACACCAAUGGCGAAGGCAGCACUCUGGGACGUGGCUGACGGCUGAGACACGAAAGCGUGGGUAGCAAACAGG